UGAUGGUCGGGUUGAUAACACUUCCCUGUGGAUAUGUUGUAUCAGAUUACCUCCGACAUCGGGAGAAAACCGGCGGACAACAGGCAAAUAACAAGCCAACAUGACCCUGGCUAUGUCACCGCUGUCGUUCCGUGAGGUUGGUGACGUGCCGUGGCAGGGUGGACCCGUAGGCAGGACCACGCAGAGAGCGACCUUUCCAGUCAUGUGUCACCUGCUUCUUGCGCUCAGGGAACCACGACGACCCUCUAAGCUCGGGUGUGUCUGAAUGUCACUGUUGUGCUGCUCCACUGGAGCAUCAAAGCGCUGGAGCUAAGCAUCAGCCAAACAGACCCUGGUGGUGUGAAAUCACUUUUAUUCAUUAAGGACUAGUGCAGUGGUGUCAGAUUGUAUUUCCAGUGAGGCUUUCUUUGUAUUGUUGUUGUUGUUGUUAUUGCCUCUGUGUUCCUCCUAUGUGGAGGCUUCUCAGAAGAUGCUGCUGCCCCUUGCAGGGUCUGUGUCCACCAUCCUUCAGAGCGUAAUUUAACCUGUGUCAGAGGGGCAUCCCCAGUGGGACCAUUGGCUCGUUAGAUCCUCCUGUGAUACUAACCCCCAAGUUCAGUUUUUAUUUUCGAAAUAAGUUAUGUUUUUUCUUUUGAAGCGAGAAGGAGGCUUUGUUUCCGCUACCUUCAUGCCUGUAAUUGGUUAUGGUGAUAUCUUGUACAUGUAUGCCCCUGUGGCCUUAUUACGUAGGCUGGACGAUGAGGUUUGUUACAAACUCCAAAAAAACUCCCUUACUCAUCACUGUACCGUCUAUAAGAGAGUGGGCUGGCAUUGUUACGUUUUUGUUUAUAAGGCCAUACUGAGACAGCUCCCAUUUUACCUGUGUAUCUGCAUUAUCCAGCAGACAAAUGACAACUAUUGCCUGAGUUCACAUGGUGUUUUGUUGACUGUGACUGAUGCUGUGUUCGUAACCAAGUGGGAAGUUGGAAUUUACCACUUACUACUGGGGAAAAUCCACUUUAAUGGCCCUUUUAAUGGCCCAUUUAUCUUAUUUGAAUUUAUUUUUACAAGAUAUUAGACCUUAAUCAUCUCAUCAGGUAAUGAAGUUACUUUAGGUUAGGGCUUAUCAGGUUAAAAUAAGCAAACUCAUCAUUAGAUAAUUUAGCUUGGUAAGAAAAAGGAAAAUAAAAAAAAUACAAACGCUAAGUGAAUUAUCACCUAAUGUAAGAUAUUUAGGCUUGCUUAGAGUUCACUUUUUGUAGUGGCGAACUCAUCUAUCAUCCUGAGCUCCCACUUUUUCUACAUGCUGACUAAGGAACUGACCUCUAAAACAGCAUUUUUGGCAGUUAAAUGCAACAACAAAACAUUAUUUUUCUUAAAGCAAUCUAUUCAUACGGUUUUGGAACAUAAUAUCAUUUGUUUACAAGCGUGAUAGCUGUAUUUUUAUUUUAUGGUUUACGCCGCUUGUUGGACAUUAGCGAAUCGGCUUUGUUCAACAAGUUCAAAGCACGUGAAUGCAUCCAACUGGUAUUUUUGACUUCAUAACUGGUAAAUCUCCACCUCCCAUUUGGUUACGAACAUAGCAUAAGGCCUGUACAUAGCUAGGGGGAAAAGCAUUCCAGUUCUCUGCCACUUAUGUUUGAAACAAGCUUCAAAAGGUCCUGAAAUUGCAGGUUUAAAUCUAAGGUAAACACUAUGAUGGGAAAUUAAGUGGAGGGUCGUCAAUGUUUUGACCCUUGGUUGCAACACACCAUCUUGCUGCUCAAUGUGUAAAUGUAUGUUUUUUAAACUGUGGUGCUUCGUGUUUAUGUUGUAAAUGUGUGAAGCUUUGUGUGCUGCUAUUUUGUCCAGGUCUCUCUUUUUAAAAUAUAUAUGUUUAUCUCAAUGAGACACCUGCUAAAACAAAGAUUAAAUAAAUAAAUGCAAAGUGAAGGCUCAUGGAAACGGACAUGCAUAGAUGAACCGUACUCCCACACGGCUAGCAAUCACCCGUGAGUUCAUAGGUGAUGAUCAUG
Molecule: long non-coding RNA, 1994 nt
Organism: Oncorhynchus tshawytscha (Chinook salmon)
Lineage: Eukaryota; Metazoa; Chordata; Actinopteri; Salmoniformes; Salmonidae
Source: Ensembl